CAGGCAAGGUAUGGGCGAUGUCCGGAAUUACUGGGCGUAAAGAGCUCGUAGGUGGCUUGUCGCGUUGUUCGUGAAAACCUGUGGCUUAACCUUGGGCGUGCGGGCGAUACGGGCAGACUGGAGUACUGCAGGGGAGACUGGAAUUCCUGGUGUAGCGGUGGAAUGCGCAGAUAUCAGGAGGAACACCGGUGGCGAAGGCGGGUCUCUGGGCAGUAACUGACGCUGAGGAGCGAAAGCGUGGGGAGCGAACAGG
RNAcentral lists this ribosomal RNA (253 nucleotides) under uncultured bacterium. RNAcentral describes it as "partial 16S ribosomal RNA". It matches the Rfam family "Bacterial small subunit ribosomal RNA", at positions 524 to 776 of the family's 1533-position model. The record is from RNAcentral.